This 720-nucleotide long non-coding RNA is filed under the name Sus scrofa (pig). RNAcentral's name for it is "lncRNA (ENSSSCG00030036069.1, ENSSSCG00065014688.1)". The record is from RNAcentral. Lineage: Eukaryota; Metazoa; Chordata; Mammalia; Artiodactyla; Suidae.
GGCAUUCAUGAAACCAUGUCCCUGUUCUUUCUCUGCAGGUGACUGGAUCAGAGUGAUGCCAGGCCCUCUGCAGCCAUUUUGUGUCCAUGAGAAGAGCUAGUCCAGAGACAAAGUGGACAUUCAGAGAAGGACACAAAGGAGCAAAUCCCAAUCCCUAGAGGCAUUCCAUCAGUUCACCCACCCCCUGGGCUUUGCACAAGAUGGAGAUCUGAGGUCUGGGCCUGAAACCACAUGCUUCAACCAUCUGACAGCAUUUACUCCUGCACCAGGUUCCAGAUUCUGGAGAAAAGGGCUCAGAAAAGUCCUCCAUAAGGUCCCUCCUCCGAUAAGACUUCUUCCUGCAGAAUCACAUCUCCAUUAAGAGCAUGCCAGGCAAAUGCUACCAACGAAUGGGAACCAGCACACUAGGUUAAACACAUUAUACAGGGGAUGACCCAUGAUGUAAAGCUGAGUGGAAGGAAGCCCAAUAGUAAGUACAGCACAAAAUAGUUCUUAAAAGGAGAAACUAAGCAUGCUGGUGCAAAUGAUAAAUGUAGGAAAGUGACAUCUCCUAGGGGUGUGUGUGUGUGUGUGUGUGUGUGUGUGGUUGGGAUUGCAAUGUUCCUUUUCUCUUUUGUGUUGCCUCUGCACUGAGUGGCUACUCAUUUGAUGCAUAUGCUCAUUGAGCAUCUAUUAUGUGCCAGUCCUCUAUUAGGGAUGCAAGGAUGAUCAAGAUUAAUG